AAAUUUUUUUUAAUACAAACCUAUACAACUGGUUUAACCAAAAACACUUCUACAUUUAAAAUUAAAAAAAAAAUAAAGGAAAAUAAUCACUCACUCACACCUCGCUGGAAUCCUCUCGCAACACUGUCUCUGAUUGAGAGCUCGUCUUCUCUUCUCCUCCUCCCAAUCUCUCUAUCAAUCUCGCGAUCGCAGGGUCAGAGCUCGAGCUCGCUGCUCUCUCUAUCUCUCUCUCUCUCUGUGUGUGUGUGAAAACUUCCUCAUCGGCAAAUCUCAUGGCCAUUGAACGCUGGAAUCCAGAUCGUUGGAUCUCCUCUUUGAUCGCCUCCCGUUGCUGGAGACCCUCAUGUCGUUCUCCGGUGGAAUCAAGCUCUCAAAUGUUGAUGGUGUUGGAUUGCAAUUGUAGGAAGCUUUUUGAAGAAAUUAUCAUGCAUUGGAAAAUAUGCAUAAAUGGCUGAAAAACAUCAUUAAAACUAAUUUAAGCUGGGUUGCUUCUUGAAAGAUCAUAUCAUGUUGAGGAGUCAAAGUUUGGUUCUUGGUAAACAACAACUAGAAUCCAUUGAUUUUGGAGAAUUCAUGGUUAAAAAUUGAGAGGGUUGAAAAUGAGGAGGAUACAUGAAGUUUUUUUACUUUGUGUAAUUAAGCCAAAAAAAUGUUUUGUAAUUAAAAUAGAUAAAUAGAGCUCUUUACAUUUUGUUAUUAAUCAAAAUACAUUGUAAUUUAGCUCAUAACUUGUCAAUAAAAGUCAAUGAAAUUGA
Dioscorea cayenensis subsp. rotundata (Guinea yam) is the source of this 755-nucleotide long non-coding RNA. RefSeq lists it as uncharacterized. The record is from RefSeq and is a predicted model, not a curated record. The transcript has 5 exons. NCBI's taxonomy places the organism in Eukaryota, Viridiplantae, Streptophyta, Magnoliopsida, Dioscoreales, Dioscoreaceae.